Molecule: ribosomal RNA, 497 nt
Filed under: uncultured bacterium
Lineage: Bacteria
Description: partial 16S ribosomal RNA
Rfam family: Bacterial small subunit ribosomal RNA
Source: RNAcentral
GAUGAACGCUGGCGGCGUGCCUAAUACAUGCAAGUCGAGCGAACAGACGAGGAGCUUGCUCCUCUGACGUUAGCGGCGGACGGGUGAGUAACACGUGGAUAACCUACCUAUAAGACUGGGAUAACUUCGGGAAACCGGAGCUAAUACCGGAUAAUAUAUUGAACCGCAUGGUUCAAUAGUGAAAGACGGUUUUGCUGUCACUUAUAGAUGGAUCCGCGCCGCAUUAGCUAGUUGGUAAGGUAACGGCUUACCAAGGCAACGAUGCGUAGCCGACCUGAGAGGGUGAUCGGCCACACUGGAACUGAGACACGGUCCAGACUCCUACUGGAGGCAGCAGUAGGGAAUCUUCCGCAAUGGGCGAAAGCCUGACGGAGCAACGCCGCGUGAGUGAUGAAGGUCUUCGGAUCGUAAAACUCUGUUAUUAGGGAAGAACAAAUGUGUAAGUAACUAUGCACAUCUUGACGGUACCUAAUCAGAAAGCCACGGCUAACUACGUG